This 253-nucleotide ribosomal RNA is filed under the name uncultured bacterium. RNAcentral's name for it is "partial 16S ribosomal RNA". It matches the Rfam family "Bacterial small subunit ribosomal RNA", at positions 524 to 776 of the family's 1533-position model. The record is from RNAcentral.
UACGUAGGUGGCAAGCGUUGUCCGGAUUUACUGGGCGUAAAGAGCGCGCAGGCGGUCGUUCAAGUCGCGUGUGAAAGCCCCCGGCUCAACUGGGGAGGGUCACGCGAUACUGAUCGACUCGAAGGCAGGAGAGGGAAGUGGAAUUCCCGGUGUAGUGGUGAAAUGCGUAGAUAUCGGGAGGAACACCAGUGGCGAAGGCGACUUCCUGGCCUGUUCUUGACGCUGAGGCGCGAAAGCUUGGGGAGCAAACAGG